RNAcentral lists this long non-coding RNA (801 nucleotides) under Fukomys damarensis (Damara mole-rat). RNAcentral's name for it is "lncRNA (ENSFDAG00000030797.1)". Lineage: Eukaryota; Metazoa; Chordata; Mammalia; Rodentia; Bathyergidae. The record is from RNAcentral.
CACCCCGAGGCUUCACCUGCCGCCGCCCGCGGAAGCAUCCUUCCGGCCUCUGCCCCCCGGAGCCCACACCCUGCCACGCUGUGCUGGCCACGAGCUUCGCUGCUCCCCGAUUUCCCCUCCCUUCGCAUGGGCCCGGCCCGAGAACUCAUUCAAGCUCUGUCCUGGCCGUUUCCCAACUCAGCCGCAUCUGACCUCAUUCCCCUAAUGUUCCGGGGCCGCCCCUGCAUCGCCCGGGCUCCGUGCCCCCAUCCAACCCCAGUGGCCCGCGGCCGGCCACUCUCCACCCUCCUGCGGGGCUGUGCCUCCCUCUUCCACUUGGGCCCGCGACCCCAGGACCCAGGACCCAGUCACGGCCACUCGGGGACCCCAACCUCGGCUCUCCACCACUUGUUUACUGGGCACUGAGCUCGCUGUGUCCCCGGCGCAGGAGCAGGCCCCCGAGGCCGCGGCCCGCCAUGCAGAAGCACUACACUGCCCACUCCGUCAAGGGUGCCCGGACCCUUGCCGAACGCUGCUGCCUGGAUCCAGAGUUAGGGCACAAAAAAGGAUGCUGUCACCACUGGCACCAGGACCCAGCGGCCCCUCGAGCCCAUGGGCCCUGUCGGCCAUCCCCCCAGUCACACUGGCAACAGGCCUACUACAGCCACCGGGGGUGUGGCAGUGGCUGGUACCGGGGCCCCAAGGCCCCUGUCCUACAGCAGCAGAAGCAGCGGCAGCCCCAGCCCCCAACUCCCAGCCCCACAUGGCAGCGGCUCAACCUGGUCCACAGGGCCCAGAAGGGGCCGCCUGAAACUGUCGCUG